This 332-nucleotide long non-coding RNA is filed under the name Lepisosteus oculatus (spotted gar). RNAcentral describes it as "lncRNA (ENSLOCG00000021944.1)". The record is from RNAcentral. Lineage: Eukaryota; Metazoa; Chordata; Actinopteri; Semionotiformes; Lepisosteidae.
UUCUUGUUUUUAGGAACCUCUUAUGAGAGUGGAUUUAGGGCUUUGGAUUUCCAGGAUGCUAAAGAAAACCAUAUACUAGAAUAGAAGUACUUUAAUUCAUAUAGCAUCGUAAUAUGGCCUGUAGAAAGUUUAAAUCUAAUAGAAAACUUUCAGCAUAAACCCAAAAAUAUACGCAGAGUAAUUCAGAGCAGUUAACGUAAACACUAAUUAUGUAUAAUGGUUACAAUGAGAGUCCUUAUCACAAACUGAUACAUGCCAAGCUCCUCUCUCACAGUUUUGGAAUUCUUUGGAAGUCGUGAAAGGUAGGUGAAAGGUGAUUAAUUGAAAACUAC